RNAcentral lists this non-coding RNA (21 nucleotides) under Arabidopsis thaliana (thale cress). Lineage: Eukaryota; Viridiplantae; Streptophyta; Magnoliopsida; Brassicales; Brassicaceae. The record is from RNAcentral.
ACCCAGCGUGCCCCUACUAAA